GACGAACGCUGGCGGCGUGCUUAACACAUGCAAGUCGAACGGAAAGGCCCUGCUUUUGUGGGGUGCUCGAGUGGCGAACGGGUGAGUAACACGUGAGUAACCUGCCCUUGACUUUGGGAUAACUUCAGGAAACUGGGGCUAAUACCGGAUAGGAGCUCCUGCUGCAUGGUGGGGGUUGGAAAGUUUCGGCGGUUGGGGAUGGACUCGCGGCUUAUCAGCUUGUUGGUGGGGUAGUGGCUUACCAAGGCUUUGACGGGUAGCCGGCCUGAGAGGGUGACCGGCCACAUUGGGACUGAGAUGCGGCCCAGACUCCUACGGGAGGCAGGAGUGGGGAAUAUUGCACAAUGGGCGGAAGCCUGAUGCAGCAACGCCGCGUGCGGGACGACGGCCUUCGGGUUGUAAACCGCUUUCGCCUGUGACGAAGCGUGAGUGACGGUAAUGGGUAAAGAAGCACCGGCUAACUACGUG
RNAcentral lists this ribosomal RNA (468 nucleotides) under uncultured bacterium. RNAcentral's name for it is "partial 16S ribosomal RNA". It matches the Rfam family "Bacterial small subunit ribosomal RNA", at positions 28 to 507 of the family's 1533-position model. The record is from RNAcentral.